UAGAUAGAUUAUUAUAUUCGACUAUAUUCACGGUAUGUAUUUGUGAAUACAGUAAUGUAAAUAGCGCAAUUCAUGGUCUAUUCAGCUAUUUUUAACGGAAAGUGAAUCAAUUAACACAAUAGACUCCU
This 128-nucleotide microRNA precursor is filed under the name Nicotiana sylvestris (wood tobacco). Its description in RNAcentral is "MIR6152 microRNA precursor family". It matches the Rfam family "MIR6152 microRNA precursor family". RNAcentral also lists the same sequence under 1 other name. The record is from Rfam by way of RNAcentral. Lineage: Eukaryota; Viridiplantae; Streptophyta; Magnoliopsida; Solanales; Solanaceae.